AAGUCCAGGCAAGUCCUAGGCAAGUCCAGGCAUGAUUUUCACUGGCUUAUGUGCUUGGGACCAUGGGGUAAACAGUAUUUACAAGACUGCCAUCUGGAGCCCACAUGGAAUACUCUCUGGCAUAUCUGGGAGAAAUUAAAGUGGCUGUGCCCCAAACCUGCAAACAUUUGCUUACUACUGAAAUCUGAGAAUAUUGAACUGCAAAGGGUACAUCUGACCAAAGAGCAUCAGGACUCUUGUUUCCGGAUAGAAUUGUGGUUUUUGAGGUUCUGUGACAGAGGGCUGUGCGGGUCUGCACAAGUCGCCGCCCUCGGAACUCCGCGCCCGAACGUCGCGGCGGACCGCUGCCCCUGCAAUCGGAAGGUUGCAGUCGCGGGGGCGCUGGAGGCGGUGACGGCGGCCCAGGAAGGAGCAGCGCCCGGGAGGAAAAUUCUUCCAAGGAUGGUAUCCCAUUCAGAGCUGAGAAAACUUUUCUGUUCCGCUGAUGCUGUAUGCUUUGAUGUUGACAGCACAGUCAUCAGAGAAGAAGGAAUUGAUGAGCUGGCCAAAUUCUGUGGAGUUGAGGAUGCUGUGUCAGAAAUGACACGGCGAGCCAUGGGUGGGGCAGUGCCUUUCAAGGCUGCCCUCACUGAGCGACUGGCUCUGAUCCAGCCCUCCAGGGAACAGGUGCAAAGGCUCCUAGCAGAGCACCCCCCACACCUAACUCCCGGCAUAAGGGAGCUAGUAAGUAGCCUACAAGAGCGAAACAUUCAGGUUUUCCUAAUAUCUGGUGGUUUUAGGAGCAUUGUAGAGCAUGUUGCUUCAAAGCUGAAUAUCCCAUCAACCAAUGUAUUUGCCAAUAGGCUGAAGUUCUACUUUAAUGGUGAAUAUGCCGGUUUUGAUGAGAUGCAGCCAACAGCUGAAUCUGGUGGGAAAGGAAAAGUUAUUAAACUUUUAAAGGACAAAUUUCAUUUUAAGAAAAUAGUCAUGAUUGGAGAUGGAGCCACAGACAUGGAAGCCUGUCCUCCUGCUAUGAUUUGCAACCAACUUUGAGGCUGACUAAGUAAUGAACAUAGGGCUGGUUUAAUGAGGAAUACAUAGAAAUACAAUGCAGAGCCCUCUCAAGGAGCUUCCCGUCCCAACGUCAAGAAAUGACAAAGUUAUAAACUCUAGAUGACCAUACCAGUCAGCUGACACGGCCUGGCCAAACUAAGAGAAAAGUGGUGAGUACGCAGGUGUGUAACCCUUGAAGAUGGUCAGAGGAAGGUGUGAUGUAGAGGAAGGUUAGCCACCAUGUGAAGGCCUGGCAAGAUUUAGGAGGUUUCUGGAGGGUGGGGAGGCAGCAGAGCAGAGUGAGGGUGAACUAGGUGUAGUCCUGGACUGGUCAGUGGAGAAGGAUGAGCAGGAGUGGGCUUUCUCUCCAGCAAUUGCUGAAGACCUGCCUGCCAGCCAGUUUCAUGUUUCCUCUAGGUCCUGGAAGCCCCGGAAGGCUCCUGGACAGAGAAGCAAAUAGUCAAAGUGUUAGGACAGCCGAAUUGGCACUGGCAUGCAGAAAGUUCAACCACAGGGGCAGGAAGCUCAGUUAGGAAGCUAAUUUUAACUGGGAAUCUAGUUUUUCUUUCUCUGUGUGUGGUAUGAAAAUAAAAAAGCAAAGAAAGGACAAGUAAGAGAAUUUGUCCUUCCAAAAUUAGAGAGUGUGUGUGUGUGUGUGUGUGUGUGUGUGUGUGUAUGUAUGUAUAUAUAUAUAUAUAUAUACAUACAUACACACACACAGUUUAUAUCCUGGCAGAAAAGACAAAAUACUGUUUUAAAAGAUCAUUGACUAAAAGAAGGUAUCACUUAAUAGGAAUUAAUGAACCAAUGCAACUUUGGGUAAUUUUAAUGAUGAAAACUAGAGUGCUGCCAAAAAUACUGGGGCUGUCCUCUCCUUCAGGCCAGAACAGCAUAGCUCCCUGGGCACCCAGGGCCACCAGGGCCGCCCUGGUCCUGAUGCCCGGUCAGGGGGAUUCCUGAGGCACCACAGGCUUCUCUUUGAUAUUCCUUCUUGGCAACAGCCCAGCCCGGGGGUGACUGCAUCAUAGACAGAACUCAGAUAUUCACCACUUGGUGUGAUUUUUGUCUUUGUAAGCAAUUGUAUUGGUUUUACCAGGGUUUAAACUCUCCUUGAAGCCCAGGAGUCGGUGCAUUGAGUCAUUCAUUCACCGGCAGGAAGAGGCAGGAAGGCUGGGGAGGCACAGGGGAGCUUGGCUCACUUAUCUGUAGUUUAUUCUUUCAAAUAUUUACUGCCCCAGGCUGCUGCUGUGCCUUUUUAAAAAAAGUAAUUCCUUUUUUUUCCUCCUUAGGAUGUUUUUGUUGGAUUUGGAGGAAAUGUGAUCAGGCAGCAAAUAAAGGACAAUGCGGAAUGGUACAUCACUGAUUUUGCAGAGCUUUUGGGAGAACUAGAAGAAUAAUACACCUUUUUAUAUAACUCAUAACAACUUAAGGUUAAUUUUUUUAAAUUGUACAGUUUGAUACUGUUUGCUUGCAAUUGCCUAUUACACCUUAAUAUAUAAAUUUGGUACCGAGUAUGUGUACUUCCAAGUAAACCAGAGUCAGGGCUCCUAGAAAAUUUCUAAACUUUUUAAAACUGUAGUUCCAGUAUUAUUAUGACUAUUAAUUACCUGGAAAGGAGAGUUUUAUAAUCUGAAUUUGUUAUGUAUUUGCCUAACUGUAUUUUAUUUGAAGCCUUUUAAAGGUAGAUCAUAAAUUAAAUACCUUUGCUAUUGGAAAUAUGGAUUAGGCAGCUUCAAGUGAAUAUUGUUUGCCCUCUGGUAUAUAAAUAAAAGUUUAUGUAUCAGCAGAUUUGUGGAGUUUUCAAUUCUGCCUAUCAUGUAUUUCAGUAUCCAAUGUUUAAAGUAUUCUAAGUGUUUGAGUGGAAACAACCUCCUGGCAGAAAUAAGGAGCUGAGAUUCCCUUGAGCACAGGACAUAGUACUCGUCACAAGUACCCACCAACUCUUGCUCUGAGUGCACUGCUGGACUAGGGGGAUGGAAGUGCUUUUAUUACCACUUGGAACCACCAUAUAGAGCAUAUUCCCAAGGCUUAAGAAAAAAGGAGCCUUAAACAAAUGUGCUGGCCUUACAAAUAUGGAUAUUGAUCAUUACCUGAAGUAAAAGAACUAAAAAGCUUUACUCAUCCCAAAUGAAAAAAAGCAUUUUCCCCUAAAUCAAUUAAGAACUUAUAAUAGCAUUUAUGAACCAUUUCUUUCUUAAGGUGACUUGGAAAGACCUGAAAACCAGGUUCAUUUUUAUUCUGAGCAGUGCCAAGAAGGUAAUUUCAGAACAUGCUUUGAAAGUAUAAGAUGAUAUAUCCUCCAUGGUGGAACAAUGGGGGAGGAUAAAGAGUUCAGGAAGAGGAGUGCAGUGGGUACUGUUGGAUAAUUCUGUAGAAAAGGCUGGGAGGCUUUAAUAUUGGAAAUUAUUUGAAAAAUUUAUAAUUGAACUGAAUAAUCAAAUUUGGCCAAAUAAUCAGAUAAUUACUUGGUCAAAUUAAUCAAAUCAGAUGAAUCAAAUUUCCUUCUGUAGGAGAGACAUGAAAUAAGUUUGGCAACAUUUAAAAGAGACCACAAACAAUGAGGUGGUUGUUUCAUGACCAUGAAUGCUCACUGGUAACUCUUCUAGAAGCGGUUUUGUGAUGUCUCUACUUUUGUCCAUGCUGUGCUCUGGCAGCACCAGGCACGCCAGGUCUGAGAGCGCUCCCAACUGCCUCCGCCUUGGCCAUCGCCCACUGUGCAUGAGCUGGAGCAAGCUGCCCGCGGAUGGGAAACAAGCUCAUACAAGUUAAUGACUGCUACAAGGUCACUUUCAGAGCUGGAAGACAAGCCAAUGAUUUCACAGCGUUCUUUAUCUUAUGCAUUACUAGAGAGUUAACAAUUUACUGGGGCCAGGAGAAUCCACCUAAAGCUAAUACUUAUUAACACUUUGAUCACAUGUGUUAAUGUAUAUUAAUACAGUACAGGAAAUUUUACUCCUGAGGAUGGAAGGGCAAGUUUUGCAAAAACUGCAAGUGGUCUCAUUUUAAAUGGUCAACUCUGGAGAAAUUACUACUUUUAGAACUAGUUAAUAGAGGACUGUUUAGUAUUUUGCUGAUCAUGGUUUCAAACUCUAAGCAUAUUUCUGUAUAUGUUCAUAGUUUUUUGAAUUGUUUUUACUGAGCUUAUCUAGGCAUAGCCUAUUAAUUUCUUAGUUCUAGAACUUGCAUGAGAAACACUGUGAAUAAAGACACUUGUCCUGC
Molecule: non-coding RNA, 4251 nt
Organism: Manis javanica (Malayan pangolin)
Lineage: Eukaryota; Metazoa; Chordata; Mammalia; Pholidota; Manidae
Source: RefSeq, a predicted model, not a curated record